UACGGGGGGGGGCAAGCGUUGUUCGGAAUUACUGGGCGUAAAGGGCUCGUAGGCGGCCAACUAAGUCGGAUGUGAAAUCCCCAGGCUUAACCUGGGAACUGCAUCCGAUACUGGAUGGCUUGAAUCCGGGAGAGGGAUGCAGAAUUCCAGGUGUAGCGGUGAAAUGCGUAGAUAUCUGGAGGAACACCGGUGGCGAAGGCGGCAUCCUGGACCGGUAUUGACGCUGAUGCGCGAAAGCCAGGGGAGCAAACGGG
This 254-nucleotide ribosomal RNA is filed under the name uncultured bacterium. Its description in RNAcentral is "partial 16S ribosomal RNA". It matches the Rfam family "Bacterial small subunit ribosomal RNA", at positions 524 to 776 of the family's 1533-position model. The record is from RNAcentral.